RNAcentral lists this ribosomal RNA (445 nucleotides) under uncultured bacterium. RNAcentral's name for it is "partial 16S ribosomal RNA". It matches the Rfam family "Bacterial small subunit ribosomal RNA", at positions 354 to 796 of the family's 1533-position model. The record is from RNAcentral.
GUGAGGAAUAUUGGUCAAUGGGCGAGAGCCUGAACCAGCCAAGUCGCGUGAAGGAAGAAGGAUCUAUGGUUCGUAAACUUCUUUUGCAGGGGAAUAAAGUGCAGGACGUGUCCUGUUUUGUAUGUACCCUGAGAAUAAGGAUCGGCUAACUCCGUGCCAGCAGCCGCGGUAAUACGGAGGAUCCGAGCGUUAUCCGGAUUUAUUGGGUUUAAAGGGUGCGUAGGUGGUUUGAUAAGUCAGCGGUGAAAGUUUGCAGCUUAACUGUAAAAAUGCCGUUGAAACUGUCGGACUUGAGUGUAAAUGAGGUAGGCGGAAUGCGUGGUGUAGCGGUGAAAUGCAUAGAUAUCACGCAGAACUCCGAUUGCGAAGGCAGCUUACUAAGCUACCACUGACACUGAAGCACGAAAGCGUGGGGAUCAAACAGGAUUAGAUACCCGGGUAGUCC